CAAGAGUACGUGAAACUGCUAAGAGGUUAAGCCCGAUGAGCCUGAAUAUCCGUUAUGGAAAAUUCAUCACUAAUAAUAUUAUAUUUAUAAUAUAAUAGGAGUAGUGUGCAAUUUUUCCAUAAAAGGACAUUGUAAUUUGUUAAUGUAAUAAAUAUUUAUCAAAAGAUCUAUUGCAUAAGUUUAUUCAAAUUAGUUAUUUUCGAAUUUCUAACAUAGAAUAAAUGUUUUAGAUUUGAUAAAUCAUUGACAGAUUUUAUUAUAUAUAGUGCUUAAAUUUUUCGGAAUUUUACAGUAAUGAUUUAAUCUAUUGAUUUCUUUUAUUAUUGUAUGCACUUAUAUGAUUAACAAUGCGAUAGAUUCAGGAUACCUUCGGGACCCGUCUUGAAACACGGACCAAGGAGUCUAACAUAUGUGCAAGUCAUUGGGUAUUUUUAAUAAAACCCAAUGGCAUAAUUAACUUAACUGUUAAAAUGGGAUUAGUUUAUAUUUUAUUAUAAAAUAUGAAUUCAAUCCCGGGGCGUUCUAAACAGUUAUGCAUAAUAGUAUUUAUAUUAUUUAUGCCUCUAACUAGAGCGUACCUUGAGCAUAUAUGCUGUGACCCGAAA
This 605-nucleotide ribosomal RNA is filed under the name Syritta oceanica. RNAcentral describes it as "eukaryotic LSU rRNA". It matches the Rfam family "Eukaryotic large subunit ribosomal RNA", at positions 390 to 821 of the family's 3401-position model. Lineage: Eukaryota; Metazoa; Arthropoda; Insecta; Diptera; Syrphidae. The record is from RNAcentral.